Molecule: long non-coding RNA, 856 nt
Filed under: Daucus carota (carrot)
Lineage: Eukaryota; Viridiplantae; Streptophyta; Magnoliopsida; Apiales; Apiaceae
Description: long non-coding RNA (DCAR_LNC001340)
Source: RNAcentral
CACAUUCAGCGUUUUUUCCGCCGGACGUAUGUUGCUAUCAUUCAUGUGUUCUGAUCAGCUACUAUCAGAUAAUUGAGCUUGGAGAAUGCAGAUUUUCCUGGCUGGUAAGAAAAUGAUAUCACUCUAGAAUUUAGAUAAUUGUUUGAUGGACAUCUAUUCUUAAUUAUUUAUAUUAGGAUUCGUCACGUGGGUGAGUAAGUAAAUGAUGUCAAAAUUGUGAAAUUUUAUUAAUAUUUAAUUGAUAAAUUAUUGAAAAUUAAUAUUUAAAUGAUGUUCGGGAAGAGGGAUGAAAAUAUUAUAGGAGAUGUGUUUUUAUAUUGUAAGAGUUUAUUAAUUUAGUGCAAAGAAUUGAAAGGACAAUCAGAAAAAGAAGAAAAGUUUUAAGAUAUGAAGGGCUUCUUUCACAAAUAAGCAGGUCUAAAAAGUAUAUUUGUUAAAAUUUGGAUUGCAAGUUUGCAACUGUUAGCAACAUUUUACAACUACAAAUAUAAUUUUAAACAAAACUUUUGAAUUUUUUUUAAUUAAGAUGAGUACCCGGCAUGUACUUUUGCACGUAUAAUGUAGUCAACGAACAAAUGUAUGAUCUUAAUUUCAGGACUCAGAUGAGGGAGUGAAGCUAUGCUGGGAAAUUGAUGUGGAUGGAUAUGUUGUGAUAUCUGAUGAUUCGGAGAAUUAGAGAUGAUAAGAGCAAAAUGUGCAAAGUCAUUUGCACCUUUACUAGCGGGUGUAUGUUUCACGAUAGGGACGAUCAGAUCAAUGAAUCUUUAGCACCAGGAAAUAAGAUGAGAGAAAUGUAAAGGGCAGAUAGUGAAGAGCAGUGCCGGUCCUGGCGAUCCAGGGGCUCAAAAUUUUCUUA